GACUCCGGUAACCAAGGAAACCUCCCGGAAACGGCGGGUUGUAUUACUCUGUGGCGGGCCGGGUUCAAGUGCCUGAAGUUUUAUCCUUGGUGGAGGCAGCAAACAGAAAACUGCAAGGCAGGUUGCGGGUGUGCGGCGGAGGCUUGCAGCUCGUAGCUCUAGCGAACUUCAGGGUUCAAGUUUACGGGGCGGGGAGAACGGUGGUGGCGUCUUCUUUUCGCAGGAGACCAGUCGCCAGGUCGGGGAGCCUUAUCACAGAAAGCGCGACCACUCCGUGUGUUUUGCGCGUGUCAGGAAUACUGUUAAUGAUCUAACAGUCCAUCGGGCAACUCCUGAAGAUCUGGUAAGUUUAAUAUCAAAAAAAUAAUUUGCUUAAUAUUUUUUUGAUAUUUGGUUUCUAACCUUCAGAAUA
RNAcentral lists this long non-coding RNA (412 nucleotides) under Dasypus novemcinctus (nine-banded armadillo). RNAcentral's name for it is "lncRNA (ENSDNOG00000052406.1)". Lineage: Eukaryota; Metazoa; Chordata; Mammalia; Cingulata; Dasypodidae. The record is from RNAcentral.